RNAcentral lists this ribosomal RNA (936 nucleotides) under uncultured Bacteroidales bacterium. Its description in RNAcentral is "bacterial SSU rRNA". It matches the Rfam family "Bacterial small subunit ribosomal RNA", at positions 8 to 943 of the family's 1533-position model. The record is from RNAcentral. Lineage: Bacteria; Pseudomonadati; Bacteroidota; Bacteroidia; Bacteroidales.
AGAGUUUGAUCCUGGCUCAGGAUGAACGCUAGCGGGAGGCUUAACACAUGCAAGUCGAGGGGUAACAGGGGUAGCAAUACCUGCUGACGACCGGCGUACGGGUGAGUAACGCGUAUGCAACCUGCCCUAUACAGGAGGAUAGCCCGGAGAAAUUCGGAUUAAUACUCCAUGUAGCAUUUUUUUCGCAUGAAUUAGAUGUUAAAGAUUUAUCGGUAUAGGAUGGGCAUGCGUCCCAUUAGCUAGUUGGUGAGGUAACGGCUCACCAAGGCAUCGAUGGGUAUGGGGUCUUAAAGGAUGGUCCCACACACUGGCACUGAGACACGGGCCAGACUCCUACGGGAGGCAGCAGUGAGGAAUAUUGGUCAAUGGGUGAGAGCCUGAACCAGCCAUCCCGCGUGCAGGAUGACGGUCCUAGUGAUUGUAAACUGCUUUUCUAUGAGAUGAAUAAGAAUUACGUGUAGUUCGAUGACCGUAUUAUAGGAAUAAGCAUCGGCUAACUCCGUGCCAGCAGCCGCGGUAAUACGGAGGAUGCAAGCGUUAUCCGGAUUUAUUAGGUUUAAAGGGUGCGUAGGUGGGCGUUUAAGUCAGUGGUUAAAGCCAUUAGCUUAACUAAUGUAUGCCAUUGAUACUGGAUGUCUUGAAUGUGGUAGAGGUAGGCGGAAUGUGUUGUGUAGCGGUGAAAUGCUUAGAUAUAACACAGAACACCGAUUGCGUAGGCAGCUUACUAUUCCAUUAUUGACGCUGAUGCACGAAAGCGUGGGGAUCAAACAGGAUUAGAUACCCUGGUAGUCCACGCUGUAAACUAUGAUCACUCGUUUUUGGCGAUAUAUAGUCAGAGACUGAGCGAAAGCAUUAAGUGAUCCACCUGGGGAGUACGUUCGCAAGAAUGAAACUCAAAGGAAUUGACGGGGGCCCGCACAAGCGGAGGAACAUGUG